UACGUAGGGUCCGAGCGUUGUCCGGAAUUACUGGGCGUAAAGAGCUCGUAGGUGGUUUGUCGCGUUGUUCGUGAAAACUCACAGCUCAACUGUGGGCGUGCGGGCGAUACGGGCAGACUUGAGUACUGCAGGGGAGACUGGAAUUCCUGGUGUAGCGGUGGAAUGCGCAGAUAUCAGGAGGAACACCCAUGGCGAAGGCAGCAAACUGGGCAUCAUCUGACGCUGAGGCGCGAAAGCGUGGGUAGCAAACAGG
Molecule: ribosomal RNA, 253 nt
Filed under: uncultured bacterium
Lineage: Bacteria
Description: partial 16S ribosomal RNA
Rfam family: Bacterial small subunit ribosomal RNA
Source: RNAcentral